This 229-nucleotide ribosomal RNA is filed under the name uncultured bacterium. RNAcentral's name for it is "partial 16S ribosomal RNA". It matches the Rfam family "Bacterial small subunit ribosomal RNA", at positions 568 to 796 of the family's 1533-position model. The record is from RNAcentral.
CGCGUAGGCGGAAUAUUAAGUCAGUGGUGAAAUCCUGCGGCUCAACCGUAGAACUGCCAUUGAUACUGAUAUUCUUGAAUGUAGUUGAGGUAGGCGGAAUGUGUAAUGUAGCGGUGAAAUGCUUAGAUAUUACACAGAACACCGAUUGCGAAGGCAGCUUACUAAACUAUGAUUGACGCUGAGGCACGAAAGCGUGGGGAGCGAACAGGAUUAGAUACCCUGGUAGUCC